This 376-nucleotide ribosomal RNA is filed under the name uncultured eukaryote. RNAcentral's name for it is "SSU rRNA". It matches the Rfam family "Eukaryotic small subunit ribosomal RNA", at positions 587 to 966 of the family's 1831-position model. The record is from RNAcentral.
AGCUCCAAUAGCGUAUAUUAAAGUUGUUGCGGUUAAAAAGCUCGUAGUUGGAUUUCUGUUGAGGAUGGGCGGUCCUCGCUUUGCGGGCGUAUCUGCUUCGGCCUUGGCAUCCUCGCGGGGGGCGUCGCUGCGCUUGAGUGCGUGGCGCGGGUUUCGCGACUUUUACUUUGAGGAAAUUAGAGUGUUUACGGCAAGCUAUCGCCUUGAAUAUAUUAGCAUGGAAUAAUGAUAUAGGACCCUAGCGCUAUGUUAUUGGUUUAUAGAACUAGGGUAAUGAUUAAUAGGGAUAAUUGGGGGGCAUUUGUAUUAACCUGUCAGAGGUGGAAUUCUUGGAUUAGGUUACGACAAGCUACUGCGAAAGCAUUUGCCAAGGGUG